Molecule: ribosomal RNA, 484 nt
Filed under: uncultured bacterium
Lineage: Bacteria
Description: partial 16S ribosomal RNA
Rfam family: Bacterial small subunit ribosomal RNA
Source: RNAcentral
AUUGAACGCUGGCGGCAUGCUUUACACAUGCAAGUCGAACGGCAGCGCGGGCUUCGGCCUGGCGGCGAGUGGCGAACGGGUGGGUAAUACAUCGGAACGUGCCCAGUAGUGGGGGAUAGCUCGGCGAAAGCCGGAUUAAUACCGCAUACGACCUGAGGGUGAAAGCGGGGGAUCUUCGGACCUCGCGCUAUUGGAGCGGCCGAUGGCAGAUUAGCUAGUUGGUGGGGUAAAGGCCUACCAAGGCGACGAUCUGUAGCUGGUCUGAGAGGACGACCAGCCACACUGGGACUGAGACACGGCCCAGACUCCUACGGGAGGCAGCAGUGGGGAAUUUUGGACAAUGGGCGAAAGCCUGAUCCAGCAAUGCCGCGUGUGUGAUGAGGGCCUUCGGGUUGUAAAGCACUUUUGGCGGGAACGAAAAGGACUGUGCCAAUACCACGGUUCGAUGACGGUACCCGCAGAAUAAGCACCGGCUAACUACGUG